CAACGUUCUCAGGGCGGGGUGCAAUUCCCCACCGGCGGUAAUGGCGCGCAAAGUGCCUAGCCCGCGAGCGCUUGACGGUUCGGACGGCUUUGCCGGUCAGGGUCGACAAGGUCAGCAGACCCGGUGUGAUCCCGGGGCCGACGGUCAUAGUCCGGAUGAAGAGAGAACGGGA
Molecule: non-coding RNA, 172 nt
Filed under: Pseudomonas batumici
Lineage: Bacteria; Pseudomonadati; Pseudomonadota; Gammaproteobacteria; Pseudomonadales; Pseudomonadaceae
Description: FMN sequence
Rfam family: FMN riboswitch aptamer (RFN element)
About the family: The RFN element is a highly conserved domain that is found frequently in the 5'-untranslated regions of prokaryotic mRNAs that encode for flavin mononucleotide (FMN) biosynthesis and transport proteins. This element is a metabolite-dependent riboswitch that directly binds FMN in the absence of proteins.
Source: RNAcentral